Molecule: ribosomal RNA, 464 nt
Filed under: uncultured bacterium
Lineage: Bacteria
Description: partial 16S ribosomal RNA
Rfam family: Bacterial small subunit ribosomal RNA
Source: RNAcentral
GACGAAUGCUGGCGGCGUGCUUAACACAUGCAAGUCGAACGGAAAGGCCCUGCUUGCAGGGUACUCGAGUGGCGAACGGGUGAGUAACACGUGGGUGAUCUGCCCUGCACUUCGGGAUAAGCCUGGGAAACUGGGUCUAAUACCGGAUAGGAGCCAUUUUUAGUGUGAUGGUUGGAAAGUUUUUUCGGUGUAGGAUGAGCUCGCGGCCUAUCAGCUUGUUGGUGGGGUAAUGGCCUACCAAGGCGGCGACGGGUAGCCGGCCUGAGAGGGUGGACGGCCACAUUGGGACUGAGAUACGGCCCAGACUCCUACGGGAGGCAGCAGUGGGGAAUAUUGCACAAUGGGCGCAAGCCUGAUGCAGCGACGCCGCGUGGGGGAUGACGGCCUUCGGGUUGUAAACUCCUUUCCCUAGGGACGAAGCUUUUGUGACGGUACCUAGAUAAGAAGCACCGGCUAACUACGUG